ACAGCCUGAAAAUGGUUUGUCUCUUUUUGAAACUCUCCUUGUGGGGGUCAGUUGUGUCCCUUUACAGAAAACUAGCAUCCUCUGGAUCUGCAAACCAAGAUUUCUGUAUUUCUCAUCUAUUUGGCUUGAGUGCCGCAGGAUCUUGAAGGGAGCAGCUGCAUCGCAAGAUGCCCUGAAGGAAUUCUGGAAGUCCCCGACCCUUCGGGAGUUCGGUAUAGUUGGUAUGAAGAGAAUGGGAAAAGGAUUGAAGAUUUCUGCAAGAAUUGGGUGAAAACCAUCAAUUCCCCCCCCCCACUUUGAAAAGGUGUGUAUGGAUGCUUUUUUCCUAGUUAAUAGGAGACACAAGACUGUAUCUAAAGAAGAGGCUGUUGAAGGUCAUUUUCAUCGCCUUCUCAGGCUCACAAUCUAAGAAGGCACACUGGGGGAGAGGGAGAGAAGAGAGGCGUGAUGGGUACCAGCAUUUAAGCGGUCAA
This 473-nucleotide long non-coding RNA is filed under the name Notechis scutatus (mainland tiger snake). RNAcentral's name for it is "lncRNA (ENSNSUG00000016844.1)". The record is from RNAcentral. Lineage: Eukaryota; Metazoa; Chordata; Lepidosauria; Squamata; Elapidae.